Molecule: ribosomal RNA, 497 nt
Filed under: uncultured bacterium
Lineage: Bacteria
Description: partial 16S ribosomal RNA
Rfam family: Bacterial small subunit ribosomal RNA
Source: RNAcentral
GAUGAACGCUGGCGGCGUGCCUAAUACAUGCAAGUCGAGCGAACGGACGCGGCGCUUGCUUCUCUGAUGUUAGCGGCGGACGGGAGAGUAACACGUGGAUCACCUACCUAUAAGACUGGGAUCACUUCGGGAAACCGGAGCUUAUACCGUAUAAUAUUUUGAACCGCAUGGUGCAAAAGUGAAAGACGGCCUUGCUGUCACUUAUAGAUGGAUCCGCGCUGCAUUAGCUAGUUGGUAGGGUAACGGCUUACCAAGGCAACGAUGCAUAGCCGACCUGAGAGGGUGAUCGGCCACACUGGAACUGAGACACGGUCCAGACUCCUACGGGAGGCAGCAGUAGGGAAUCUUCCGCAAUGGGCGCAAGCCUGACGCAGCAACGCCGCGUGAGUGAUGAAGGUCUUCGGAUCGUAAAACUCUGUUAUUAGGGAAGAACAGAUGUGUAAGUAAAUGUGCACAUAUUGACGGUACCGAAUCAAGAAGCCACGGCUAACUACGUG